Molecule: long non-coding RNA, 342 nt
Organism: Uranotaenia lowii
Lineage: Eukaryota; Metazoa; Arthropoda; Insecta; Diptera; Culicidae
Exons: 2
Source: RefSeq, a predicted model, not a curated record
GGGAGGCACCCUAGAAAAAAACCGCAAAAGAGUCCUUCUACCGCUGCUGUUGCUUCGAGUUGUGACCCACAUUUUCCCUAUAGCUUUCCAGAUCCAGACCAAUCCCUAUACCGGUGUUUAGAGUGUAUGAAUGUAUGAAUGGCAACCAACUUCCCUUAUAACUGGCUCUCACCUUUAGCAGCACCGGUGUCACCGGAAGUGGAACCGGAAAAAUGCCUAGAUGACGUUAAAGGUCUCCCUAGAGAGGAAGAAAAAUACGGGGCGGCUCGACUAGUGCCGCCAUCGAGACCGUGGAGUAUGCGGCUGAAUAAAGUUGAAUCCCUCAUUUUGUUACGAGCUAGA